UACGUAGGGGGCAAGCGUUGUCCGGAUUUAUUGGGCGUAAAGAGCGUGUAGGCGGCCAGGGAGGUCAGCUGUGAAAACUCGAGGCUCAACCUCGAGACGCCGGUUGAAACCAUCUGGCUAGAGUCCGGAAGAGGAGAGUGGAAUUCCUGGUGUAGCGGUGAAAUGCGCAGAUAUCAGGAAGAACACCCGUGGCUAAGGCGGCUCUCUAGUACGGUACUGACGCUGAGACGCGAAAGCGUGGGGAGCGAACAGG
This 253-nucleotide ribosomal RNA is filed under the name uncultured bacterium. Its description in RNAcentral is "partial 16S ribosomal RNA". It matches the Rfam family "Bacterial small subunit ribosomal RNA", at positions 524 to 776 of the family's 1533-position model. The record is from RNAcentral.